UAUCUUCGACUGGGUAAUUAACGUUCUUUCUUUCUUUCGUUUUUUUCUUGUAAGAAAAAAAUAGAAUGAUAUUGGGACACCGAAAAUGGGAGACUGUGUGCUGGACCUGUGUUUUGGAAGUGGGGAUUUAGCAUUUCACUUGUCUGAAAAAGUUGGCUCCAGUGGCGGCAAGGUGAGUAAUCUUGAUUUCUCAAAGGAGCAGCUGUUUAUGGCUUCGUCCCGGCAACAUUUGCUUGCAAAGGCUUACUGCAAGAGCAUCGAGUGAGCAUUGGUGGGUUGAGGGCGAGGCAACUGAUGUGCCCUUCCCAGAUUGUUACUUUGAUGCUAUACCGUACGUUAUGGGUUUCGAAAAUGCGGUGGAUAAGCGGAAGGCCUUGCAGGAGAUGUUUAGAGUACUGAGACCAGGUCCUAUCUUCUUCCCUCGUAUUUGAAUUAACAAAUCGUGACAUUUCUCACCCUUGUGUUGAUAUACAAGUUCUAAAGCAUCAGUCCUUGAUUUUAAUUGCAAAAUGAAGAGUGCUUUUCUGUCUUUUCUCUCGCUCUCCAUGUUUGUUGAUAUAAUGUGCCUGUUGGACUCAGAGGAAUGAAAUUCGAUCCUUAGCAACGAAUGCUUUUGCAUUAAUAUUUGUCCUUUUAUCUAUGAUGAUUGAUAACUGUAGGGGGAAGAACUUGCUCUGGAAAUAGGAUUUUGUACUACCAAACACUAUGAGAUUAGUGGAGGCCUAAUGGGGAAUGUAGGAGCCACACGCUAGAUGAGGAUGGUUCAAAGUUUUGUUGGGUAAGGACAUAUUAUAUAUAGGGGUUGAUGAUUUUUAUGUUCAGAAUGUUCACUGCAACUCAGGCAUUACAAAUGAUAAGCUAAAAGCCACAAACAAUCUGGCUACAUGGAUGAUGAAUUUCCAUUGUAUUAUUUUUCGUCGGGAGCUUCCUGCCCCAAGAGAAUCCUCGAUGGAAGAGGAAAUGCAUGUCAACCCCUCAAUCAAGAAGUUUGUAUUCUUACAUGAUUUUUAUUUUCAAAAAGAUCUUAAAACUUGUAAUUCUAAUUUUCCUCAGCUAGAUUUGUUUAUUUAAACCUACAAAAUUUCCUAAA
Molecule: RNA transcript, 1090 nt
Organism: Populus nigra (black poplar)
Lineage: Eukaryota; Viridiplantae; Streptophyta; Magnoliopsida; Malpighiales; Salicaceae
Gene name: 2-phytyl-1,4-beta-naphthoquinone methyltransferase, chloroplastic-like
Exons: 3
Source: RefSeq, a predicted model, not a curated record